GUUUGUUGUCUGUACUGAAGAGAAGGAGUCAGUGGUGUGAGGAGCUGCGCCUGAGAAACCACUGAGAAGUGUGUGAACUUGAGCUUGUGGAUUCCUGCUCUCACACCAGGUGAUAUCUAUUUUCCAAAGGACAAAGCACUGUUUUCAGCCUUUUGUUGGACUUCAGCAAAGCAUUCAACGUGUUUUCCUUCGUCUUUCUCCUGCACAAAGUGGCAAGUGACUGCACGGGUGGUCUGUGAGAUGGGUAUGAAAUUGGCUGAGAGGUGGCACUCAGAGGGUAGUGAUCAAUGGUUUGUACUCAGGCUGAAAGCCUGCCACAAGUAGAAUUCCCCAGGGAUGAAAACAGGACCCCAUACUAUUCAACAUCUUCGUAACUUAGCUGGAUGAUGGUGCUGAAAGCAGCCUCACCAAGUUUGCUAGUGACACCAGCCUGGGUGGCUGAGAUGGGUGUGUCAGAAAAGAAAACCCUCUCACACAGGGGCCUGUCCAGGCUGCAAGAGUGGGCAAGCAAGAGCAGUAUGAAGUUUAAUGAAGUGUGGCUGGGGAGCAGCCUUGCUGAGAGACCGGGGUGGGCACAAGCUGAGCAGGAGUCAGCAGUGUGCUGCAGCAGCAGCCAGGGCAUCCAGGGCUGCAUCUGCAGGGCUGUGGCUGGCAGAGACAGAGACAUGCUCAUCCCACUCCUCUUAGCACUUGUCUGGCUGCACCUGCAGUGCUGUGUUCAGCUCUCAUCCCCACAAUUCCAGAAAGCAGCAGAGGGGCUGGAGAGGGUCCAAAGGAGGACCACAAAUGUGAUCAAAGGGCUGGAGAGCCUGCACAGCAAGGAAAGACUGGAGCAGUCAGGUCUCUUUUCCUUGGAGAAAAGAAGGCCUGGGGGGCAUCAUCACAGUAUUCCAGUAACUACUGCACCAGGAGAGGUUUCAUCUCUGUAUAAGAAGGAAAUUUUUUACGAUGAUACCCAUCAUUCACUGGAGUAACUUCCCCUGUGCUGGAACCCCCACCACUGGAGAUUUUCAAGAUGCCAUUGGACACUGUGCUAGAUAAUCCCCCUCAAGGCUCCCUUUCAUCGUGAUGUUGGGCCAGGCAAUAUUUUGAGGUCACUUCCAAUGUGGGAUGUUUUGUGAUUCUAUUAUUGUUUAAAAGCCUACUUUCUUUUAAAUAAAAGCAAACUUUUUAGUCUUAGAUUUUGGAGUGUCUUGAAAUGUUAAAAAUA
Passer montanus (Eurasian tree sparrow) is the source of this 1210-nucleotide long non-coding RNA. RefSeq lists it as uncharacterized. NCBI's taxonomy places the organism in Eukaryota, Metazoa, Chordata, Aves, Passeriformes, Passeridae. The record is from RefSeq and is a predicted model, not a curated record. The transcript has 3 exons.